This 435-nucleotide ribosomal RNA is filed under the name uncultured bacterium. RNAcentral's name for it is "partial 16S ribosomal RNA". It matches the Rfam family "Bacterial small subunit ribosomal RNA", at positions 29 to 507 of the family's 1533-position model. The record is from RNAcentral.
AGCGAACGCUGGCGGCAGGCUUAACACAUGCAAGUCGAACGGGCAUCCCCGGCUGUUAGUGGCUGCUGGGUGAGCAAAACGUGGGAACGCACCCUUCGGUCCGGAACAACACUGGGAAAUAAGUGCUAAUACCGGAUACGACUUCCUGGGGAAAGGUCCACGGCCGUAGGAUCGGUUCGCGUCUGAUUACCGUGUUGGUGGGGCAACCGCCUACCAAGGCGAUGAUUAGUAGCUGGUCUGAGAGGAGGAUUAGCGGCACUUGGACUGAGACACGGCCCAGACUCCUACGGAGGGCAGCGGUAGGUAAUAUUAGGCGAUGAGCGCAAGCCUGAUCCAGCCAUGCCGCGUGAGUGAUGAAGGCCUUAGGGUUGUAAAUCUCUUUUGUCCGAGGCGAUAAUGACGGUACCGGAAGAAUAAGCCCCGGCUAACUUCGUG